UGGGGAAUAUUGGUCAAUGGAGGGAACUCUGAACCAGCCAUGCCGCGUGCAGGAAGACGGCCCUCUGGGUUGUAAACUGCUUUUAUUCGGGAAUAAACCACAUUACGUGUAGUGUGCUGAAUGUACCGAAGGAAUAAGGAUCGGCUAACUCCGUGCCAGCAGCCGCGGUAAUACGGAGGAUCCAAGCGUUAUCCGGAAUCAUUGGGUUUAAAGGGUCCGUAGGCGGUUUAGUAAGUCAGUGGUGAAAGCCCAUCGCUCAACGAUGGAACGGCCAUUGAUACUGCUAGACUUGAAUUAUUAGGAAGUAACUAGAAUAUGUAGUGUAGCGGUGAAAUGCUUAGAUAUGUCACAGAACACCGAUUGCGAAGGCAGCUUACUAUGGUUUAAUUGACGCUGAGGCACGAAAGCGUGGGGAUCAAACA
RNAcentral lists this ribosomal RNA (422 nucleotides) under uncultured bacterium. RNAcentral describes it as "bacterial SSU rRNA". It matches the Rfam family "Bacterial small subunit ribosomal RNA", at positions 355 to 774 of the family's 1533-position model. The record is from RNAcentral.